Molecule: long non-coding RNA, 1693 nt
Organism: Gossypium raimondii (Peruvian cotton)
Lineage: Eukaryota; Viridiplantae; Streptophyta; Magnoliopsida; Malvales; Malvaceae
Exons: 2
Source: RefSeq, a predicted model, not a curated record
UUGAGAUUAAUAAUAUAUUAUUAUACAUAUAUAUACGCAUAUAGUAAAAAACAUAUUACAUAUACAUAAUAUAUAAGGAUGUAAAAUAUUAUUAUUAUAAAUCAACUUUCUAUAAGAAAAUAUAAGGUUAAUCCUAUAUAAAAUACAAAUAUAUAAAGAAAAAUAAUCAUACGAUAAUAAGAACAAGUACAGUAUAAAAAAACAAUAAAUUUCCUAAAUAAAAAACUAAGCAACAAGAGGGAUUAAAUCACAAACCAAACCAAAUUAACAGGGAGCAGCUGGAAUUAAAGAAAAGUGAGGGACCAUGCUGCAACACGCGUAUUACAUGGGGGCCCGAUUGGGAAAUAUCCCGCUUCCCCAAAACGCAGUGUUGCAAGCCGGGCCGAAAUGGAACGAAAAUAGAAUAUGAGGGCUAAAUCAGAAAAGAAGAAGAGGCUUAAUUCAAAAAAAAGGAAAACGGAAGGGCUAGUCGUGCAAAUAUCCCUCUCUAUGCCAGAACGCGCGGGUCUAGUCGCGUCUGGGUCGGGUCAUCGGGUCGCGCCCUAAAACGAUGUCGUUUAAGAGCCACUGAAUUAGGCAAUACGGCGACGUUUCUUGAUUUCCCUUAAGCCCCUCUUUAAACCUCAUCUGUUACCCUAAACAAAAAUAAUAAAAAAAACCUAAAAUCUUAUUCCAUCUAAAACAAACACCAAAAAUAAAUAAGGGCUCAGCGUCGUUUCGUGCUACAUCAAUCGACGGCGGCUUUCCGAAUCCCGAGCACGACUCCGAUUGUGACGAAGCGAACUCGAGACCGGUCGCCAGGGGACCCUUAGCCUCGUCCGACCCCGAUUGUGACGGAGCGAACGGAGACCAGGUAAGCCUCUCGUUCCCUUUCUCCUUUAUAUUUUAAUGCCAAUCAAUGAACAAAAGAGCCAAGAAAAAGAAAAAAAAAAAGCAAAGAGAUUCACCAUCACCUUUCUAACUUUUUGAUUUCUUUGAACGAAUUUUUUUGUUUACAAUCCGCCUAUUUUUUUUUGUCUCUGUCCCCUUUACAAAAGGUUCCCCCUUUCAUUUUAUAGCCGAAAUCAAAAAUAAAAUCCCCCAGAAUCCUUUUUAACAUUUUUCUUUUUCCUAUUUUCUGAUUUGCUGGUGAUUUCUAUUCUUUUUGCCUGCUUUCUCUGCUUUUUUUUUGUUUGUUUGUCCUUCUUACAGGUAUGUGGAGGCCGUACGGUGAUGUGGCACGGCUCGGUGCAGUGCAUGGAGGCGGGGCACGUGGUGGUGGCGCACGUGCGAAGGCACACGAGAGGGCAGAGGCUCGACACGUGGAGAUGAAGGCCCUGGGUGGCUGUGGCGUGGCACGUAUAGAGGCUAAUUGGUGUGCGUGGAGGCUGCUAGGGUUUGCCACAGUGCAUUAUGAUAUUGGGCCUUUUGGGCUGAAUCGAUUUGCUAGGUUUAGGUUUAGAGCUAGGCUAAUUUGGGUAGUUUGGGUUAAAAUGAGUUGGGCCACAUUGGGCCUGUGUAACUGGACAUUUGAUUUUAUUAUUAUUUAAAUCUAGUUUUAAAAUGACCGGGUAAAAAUUGGUUAUUACAUUGUCGAUGUUGAGGGUCCAGAGGAUGAAUUUCUAGUGGAUGCGGAGGCUGUAUGAUUUAAAUGGUAAAAGUAGAUUUCUUUAUUUUUUUAUAUGAUGAUAAUGGAUUUCAAUUUUUUUUAGAA